Molecule: ribosomal RNA, 253 nt
Filed under: uncultured bacterium
Lineage: Bacteria
Description: partial 16S ribosomal RNA
Rfam family: Bacterial small subunit ribosomal RNA
Source: RNAcentral
UACAGAGGGGGCAAGCGUUGUUCGGAAUUACUGGGCGUAAAGGGCGCGUAGGCGGCCAACUAAGUCAGACGUGAAAUCCCUCGGCUUAACCGGGGAACUGCAUCUGAUACUGGAUGGCUUGAGUUCGGGAGAGGGAUGCGGAAUUCCAGGUGUAGCGGUGAAAUGCGUAGAUAUCUGGAGGAACACCUGAGGUGAAGACGGGUUGCUGGGCUGACACUGACGCUGAGGCGCGAAAGCGUGGGGAGCAAACAGG